AAUAACGAGCAAAGAGGGGCAGCUAUAUGAGCCCAAUUUAGCCUGGGGCCCAUAAGCAAACCAACCCAAUUACAAAAUAAAACCCAAACUACCACAGACCCAAAAUCAAACCAAACAAACCUAAACCCCAAACCCAACUAAAUUAAACCCAAAUCAAGUAGCCCAAUUACAAUAAACCCAACCAACCUAAACCCAAACUAAAUUGCCCUAGCCCAAUACAACCCAACCUACCCCAGCC
Molecule: long non-coding RNA, 238 nt
Filed under: Gossypium raimondii (Peruvian cotton)
Lineage: Eukaryota; Viridiplantae; Streptophyta; Magnoliopsida; Malvales; Malvaceae
Description: long non-coding RNA (GRAI_LNC002901)
Source: RNAcentral